CCUACGGGUGGCAGCAGUGAGGAAUAUUGGUCAAUGGCCGGAAGGCUGAACCAGCCAAGUCGCGUGAGGGAAGACGGCCCUACGGGUUGUAAACCUCUUUUGUCAGGGAGCAAAGUGCAGGUCGGGACCUGCUGGGAGAGUACCUGAAGAAAAAGCAUCGGCUAGCUCCGUGCCAGCAGCCGCGGUAAUCCGGGGGAUGGGAGGGUUGUCCGGAUUUAUUGGGUUGAAAGGGUGCGAAGGCGGAGUCACAAGUCAGCGGUAAAAUCGCGGGGCGCAACCCCGCCCCGCCGUUGAAACUGUGUCCCUUGAGUGCGCGAAGGGUAGGCGGAAUGCGUGGUGUAGCGGUGAAAUGCAUAGAUAUCACGCAGAACGCCGAUCGCGAAGGCAGCCUACCGGCGCGCAACUGACGCUCAUGCACGAAAGCGUGGGUAUCGAACAGGAUUAGAUACCCUGGUAGUC
This 459-nucleotide ribosomal RNA is filed under the name uncultured bacterium. RNAcentral's name for it is "partial 16S ribosomal RNA". It matches the Rfam family "Bacterial small subunit ribosomal RNA", at positions 338 to 795 of the family's 1533-position model. The record is from RNAcentral.